Molecule: ribosomal RNA, 555 nt
Filed under: uncultured bacterium
Lineage: Bacteria
Description: partial 16S ribosomal RNA
Rfam family: Bacterial small subunit ribosomal RNA
Source: RNAcentral
UGGGGAAUUUUGGACGAUGGGCGAAAGCCUGAUCCAGCAAUGCCGCGUGUGUGAAGAAGGCCUUCGGGUUGUAAAGCACUUUUGUCCGGAAAGAAAUCCUUGGCUCUAAUACAGUCGGGGGAUGACGGUACCGGAAGAAUAAGCACCGGCUAACUACGUGCCAGCAGCCGCGGUAAUACGUAGGGUGCAAGCGUUAAUCGGAAUUACUGGGCGUAAAGCGUGCGCAGGCGGUUUGCUAAGACCGAUGUGAAAUCCCCGGGCUCAACCUGGGAACUGCAUUGGUGACUGGGCAGGCUAGAGUAUGGGCAGAGGGGGGUAGAAUUCCACGUGUAGCAGUGAAAUGCGUAGAGAUGUGGAGGAAUACCGAUGGCGAAGGCAGCCCCCUGGGCCAAUACUGACGCUCAUGCACGAAAGCGUGGGGAGCAAACAGGAUUAGAUACCCUGGUAGUCACGCCCUAAACGAUGUCAACUAGUUGUUGGGGAUUCAUUUCCUUAGUAACGUAGCUAACGCGUGAAGUUGACCGCCUGGGGAGUACGGUCGCAAGAUUAAAACUC